Molecule: transfer RNA, 88 nt
Filed under: Deltaproteobacteria bacterium
Lineage: Bacteria; Pseudomonadati; Myxococcota; Myxococcia
Also listed under: 1 other name
Description: tRNA-Leu
Rfam family: tRNA
About the family: Transfer RNA (tRNA) molecules are approximately 80 nucleotides in length.
Source: RNAcentral
GCCGGAGUGGUGAAACUGGUAGACGCGCUGGACUCAAAAUCCAGUGGCCCUUGCGGCCGUGAGAGUUCGAGUCUCUCCUCCGGCACCA